This 253-nucleotide ribosomal RNA is filed under the name uncultured bacterium. RNAcentral describes it as "partial 16S ribosomal RNA". It matches the Rfam family "Bacterial small subunit ribosomal RNA", at positions 524 to 776 of the family's 1533-position model. The record is from RNAcentral.
UACGUAGGGUGCAGGCGUUAAUCGGAAUUACUGGGCGUAAAGCGUGCGCAGGCGGUCUGCUAAGAGAGGUGUGAAAUCCCCGGGCUUAACCUGGGAACUGCGCUUCUAACUGGGAGGCUAGAGUGCGGGAUGGGAGAGUGGAAUUCCUGGUGUAGCGGUGAAAUGCGUAGAUAUCAGGAGGAACACCGGUGGUGCAGACGGCUCUCUGGACCGUAACUGACGCUGAGACACGAAAGCGUGGGUAGCAAACAGG